This 460-nucleotide ribosomal RNA is filed under the name uncultured bacterium. Its description in RNAcentral is "partial 16S ribosomal RNA". It matches the Rfam family "Bacterial small subunit ribosomal RNA", at positions 338 to 795 of the family's 1533-position model. The record is from RNAcentral.
CCUACGGGUGGUAGCAGUGAGGCAUAUUGGUCAAUGGGCGCGAGCCUGAACCAGCCAAGUAGCGUGAAGGAUGACUGCCCUACGGGUUGUAAACUUCUUUUAUAAAGGAAUAAAGUGAGGCACGCGUGCCUUUUUGUAUGUACUUUAUGAAUAAGGAUCGGCUAACUCCGUGCCAGCAUCCGCGGUAAUCCGGAGGAUCCGAGCGUUAUCCGGAUGUGUUGGGUUUAAAGGGGACGUAGAUGGGUUGUUAAGUCAGUUGUGAAAGUUUGCGGCUCAAACGUAAAAUUGCAAUUGAUACUGGCAGUCGUGAGUACAGUUGAGGUAGGCGGAAUUCGUGGUGUAGCGGUGAAAUGCUUAGAUAUCACGAAGAACUCCGAUUGCGAAGGCAGCAUACUAAACUGCCACUGACAUUGAUGCUCGAAAGUGUGGGUAUCAAACAGGAUUAGAUACCCGGGUAGUC